AAAAAAGAAUUCAAUUGGCUUCACUUUUUUGCGUCGGCGUGUAAUAGCCGUCGCGAAUGAUAGAUAUUUUGCUUCGGCAAAACAACCCCGUCGCAAAAACAACAAUCGGAUACGACGGCAAAACAUCCCCGUCGCGAUAAUACCAAUUGUUUGCUACUGCAUAACUACGCCGUCGCAUAUUCUGAUAUGAAUUGCUACCACCAAUGUGCCGUCGCGUGUACUUAGUUCUAAACUCUAUGUUAGAGGGCAAAAGAGAAUUAAACUUUGAAAAAUUUCUCUUUGGGUCAGCCUCUCUUCCGCUCUCAACCCGCUUCUCUUGUGCAUCAGAUCAAUUAGAAACUAGUGUGGCGUUUGGGUAUUCAGAAUACCAAAGUCCCAAAUACAUGCAUCUUGUCUCUGGGUCAGAUCGGCUAUAACCUAGAUCUCGUCAUUUCAAUAUAAUCCAUCACAGAUCUGGUAUUUCUUUCUUCUCCAGAUUCUCCGCUCUAUCUAAGCUAGAUUUGAUAUAGAGAGCUUCUUUUUGGAGAGUGAGAAACAGAGACAAGAGAUGGGUUCUGGUUCGAAAUUGGAAGGCACAUAAGCGCGCCGAUACGGCAAGACCCGUAAGAAGUCUUGAGUGUUUCUUGGGAUUCAAAGUCAUUCAACUGAUAAGGAAAUUAAAAAGGCGUAUCGGAAACUCCGUCUCAAGUAAGUUCAAUUUCCGAUUCGAAAUCCACCCAUUUCAUUGUUUUAGAUUAUCUUGUUUGCUUUUGUGUAAUUUCUUGUUGGGUUAUGCUGCUAGUUAGUAUAUGAGGAUAGUAUUGCAGCAAUAGAGAUUGAUUCUGUGAAUUUCAGGCGCCGCCAUUGUUUCUCCUCUCUCGAACUCGUACUACUCGCUUCCUUCUCUCUUAUAUAUGUAUCUAUUGUCUGCAUAUAUGCAAUUUGCAAUGCUUGAUUUGAUUUUUAGGAAGGAAAAAAUAUUUUCAGGAAGUGGGUUUUGCGAUUCAUGUGGUUUUUCUUGUUUUGGUUAAGCAUAUUGGGAUUAAUGAUUGUAGUUCUGUGGAUUUGAGCAAGUGCUUUUGAGUUUUGGCUUUUGAUUGUGGGAUUUGUUGGAAUAGAGAUUGAUUCUGUGUUAAUUUUUGCAAAGGGAUUCUGGGUUUUGUUAGUUUGAGUGAGAUAUUUUGUGUUUGACUACCUGAGGAUCUUUGUCAGUUCUUUCGUUUCCAGUAUAAUAACUAUAUGAUUGUUCAGCAACCGCCAUAACCUUCCCUUGUGAAAAUGAGCAAACAGAAGUCAAAAUUAUGAAUGGGGGAAGAAAUAUGAAAGGAAAAGAAAAGGGAAAAGAGGCAUAUUGAUCGGUUUCUAUAACCAUAAUUAUAAUGCAGCAAUACUUCUUGCCAGGAAAUAUGCUCUUGAUUGCAAUGUGAGUGUUUUCUGCCACUUAAUAUCAACUUUCCCUUGCCCUAGUGAAGUUGAAUCCCUUAAUACGAAGUUUGAUGUAGAAAUAUUCAAAUGACAGUUCAUGAUUGCUGGACCAGAUGACAGAGUAUAGAGCCGGCUGAGUUUUGCAAAUGUGUGUACAAUCAAGUCUUACAACUUGAGUGUGUAUUUGUGUACGUGUAUGUGUGACUGCAUGUGUGUAUUUGUUUGUCAUGAAUCAUGAUGAGAGUAAAAUGUAUGUUAUAGUAAUUAAUUGGGUGCCUACUAAUCUGGGUUGCAUCAUUUAGGCAGUGUUUUUGUUUGCCUAAUUAGCAUCGGAUUGUAACAAGUCUCUUUCUCUAUUCUUUGUUUUGUUGAUAAGAGGUUGUAACGAGUUUUCAAUUCAUUAUUAAUUGGUUCUUUGUGGCUGAAAAAAUAGUAGCAAGUAUUUAAAAAAAAAAAAUCCCAGCCUUUAAUAGACUGAAGCUUAAAGACCAUUAAAAAAAAAAAAUUGAAAAUGGGUAAAUGGGUGGGUAUGGGUUUACCCGUUUAAAAAUGGGUUGGGUAAAUACCCGUACCCGCGAAUGCUAUUUGAAACACUGCAGGACACUAAAUCAGUAAUGCUUUACAAUAUGUUCAGAUUACAAUAGUUAAGUUUCUUCAUAUGGAAAAUCAAUUGAAGAAGGCAAGAGUUUUGGUGAUGCUUUUGAAAUGCAAGUACAUUGACCCUCUUUCAUUUCGUUGAUGUCUUGUGGGGGAUCAAGAAGUUUCUGAAUGCAGGAUCAGAAGCCCUCUAAAGGAAGAAUACCAAAAUCGUUGAUGAUUUCUUGUAUAAGUUAAUCCACACAAAAAUUGAGCAAAUGAAGAAAAAGGAUUAACUCUUCUGAGACUCUGAGCUCGUGACAAUACUAGUUACAAGUUUCAGAUUUUGCAGGUUCAAAUCUAUGUUGAUCCAUUUUGGAUAUGAAAAAGAUUUCUCAAAAUUGGUUCUGAAGCCACCCUUAUCAAUUUUGCAUUACUUUGCUGUCAUUCUUACUGUGUGUCUGUGUUUAUGAGAGUGAGAACGAGAUCAUUUCCUCUGAUACUUGGUAUCAAAUCAUCAUCUCAUAAUAUGAAUAUUAUUUUGAAUGGAGCCAUGUGGUCCAUCAGAUAUUUGUGGCAACAUGUAUUGGGGAUUGUCUUGCAUGAUGUUUCUCUUCUCUCUACCUUCUAAUCCUAUGUCUGCUACAUGUUUCAUAGAAUGACAAGGAGGACAUACUGUCACGGUUUCUAUUGGAGAGUGAGAAGAAUCCGGAGGAGAUGAAUGAUAAAUAUCUAAGCGAAAUAAUUAUGAACUUCAUGAUUUCUGGGAAAGAUACCAAUGCAAAUUCACUCUUAUGGUUCUUCUACAUGCUCAGCAAGAACCCUCUAACAUAAUUUAUUAUUGUUCGAACAAGCUUCUAGUGCUUGCCUUCUUUCGUGCCCCUUUCAGAUUUGAUUGUGCUUUGGAAUAUUGGGACAUUUGGUUUAAAUUUCAGUUGGCAUUCUUCUGUCAUCUCUCUGACCUUGUUUUUGUGUCAAUGAUGCAAGAGUCCAUUCCUUCAACUUUCUUGGUUUGGAUAUCAAGUGAACUGGCCCAUCAGCUUUGUUUUGACUCCUGGUGCAUUGAAAAUAUAUGCCGAGAUAUUCAGUUUUUUGAUACUAGUGAAACUGGCUUUGUUUUCAUUGACUGAUGUGUGGCGCCAAUUGAAGGGUUGAUGAAAUAAAAAUCACUAAUGCUUUACAAUAUGCAGCUAGUAUUGAGUACGUUAUAAGGUGGAGUACCAAUAUUAGUCUUUGGUCAAACUGGGGUUGCAUAAGCUGAUUCUCCAAAUGAGGCCCUUCCUCUUAAUUGCAGACCUAAUACUGGUGCUGCGCAGCUGACCAAAGAUAAAUUCAAGACUCUGAUAAAUAUAAAGAUGUGCACACAUGAAGAGGUGAGGUAUGAAAUGAUAAUCCACCAAGCAAAGCUGUAGUUUCUAGUGUAGUUCUCUACUCUCUGAGAUCGUAGUCCCACUUUCACUUUCUCCUAUCCCUAUUCUACUUUCACAAGGCUUUCUCUAUCACCAUUGUCAUGCUCUUCAAAUAGUUCCUUGACUUUCGCAAAGACAUCUCUGCAAAUUCUUUGAGUUUUGAAAUCUCUCACGACCUGAAGAAACCUUUCAUAUAUGUCUCUUUGGUCAGAAAACUAAAGGUUUCAUCUCAGCAGAGAAAUUGAAGCUUCAGAUGUGUUCACUUGAGGUUGUCAUUAGCUGGGAUGAGCGAGAGUAAGAUAGGAGAAAGAAGUUGUGCAUUUUUUGUAUUUUGAACAAUGACAAAGAUGUAUGAAUCAUUUUUUGUACCAGUUUCAUCUCAGCAGAGAAAUUGAAGCUUCAGAUGUGUUCACUUGAGGUUGUCAUUAGCUGGGAUGAGCGAGAGUAAGAUAGGAGAAAGAAGUUGUGCAUUUUUUGUAUUUUGAACAAUGACAAAGAUGUAUGAAUCAUUGAAUAACAAUAUUGUGAAAGAGUAUACAAGCUUCUCAUUUGUAUUUUUGCACAGAAUGUGAUUUGUAUGGGUU
This is a long non-coding RNA of Rosa rugosa (rugosa rose), 3973 nucleotides long. RefSeq lists it as uncharacterized. The record is from RefSeq and is a predicted model, not a curated record. The transcript has 5 exons. NCBI's taxonomy places the organism in Eukaryota, Viridiplantae, Streptophyta, Magnoliopsida, Rosales, Rosaceae.